RNAcentral lists this ribosomal RNA (253 nucleotides) under uncultured prokaryote. Its description in RNAcentral is "partial 16S ribosomal RNA". It matches the Rfam family "Bacterial small subunit ribosomal RNA", at positions 525 to 777 of the family's 1533-position model. The record is from RNAcentral.
ACGAAGGGGGCUAGCGUUGUUCGGAAUUACUGGGCGUAAAGUGCGCGCAGGCGGUUCUUCAAGUCAGAGGUGAAAGCCCAGGGCUCAACCCUGGAAUUGCCUUUAAAACUGCAUCGCUAGAAUUGUGGAGAGGUAAGUGGAAUUCCGAGUGUAGAGGUGAAAUUCGUAGAUAUUCGGAAGAACACCAGUGGCGAAGGCGUCUUACUGGACACAUAUUGACGCUGAGGUGCGAAAGCGUGGGGAGCAAACAGGA